Cylas formicarius (sweet potato weevil) is the source of this 313-nucleotide long non-coding RNA. RefSeq lists it as uncharacterized. NCBI's taxonomy places the organism in Eukaryota, Metazoa, Arthropoda, Insecta, Coleoptera, Brentidae. The record is from RefSeq and is a predicted model, not a curated record. The transcript is spliced from 3 exons.
CAUGGGUGGGAUAAAAACAAACCAAACAAAAAAAGAAAAGGGUUUUUUCCUCGUUCAGUACGUUGAACGCCGAUAAUGGAUGCGAAUGUACGUUUAGUUCCCCCAGUUGAUAAUAGUUACGCAACUGCUAGUGAAAUAAUUCGGAAAUUUAUGGAUUAGCAGAGAAGGGGUCACGUGUUGAUGCGGUAGGGUUUGCGCAUAGCGCCCUCAGCAAGCAACUAGAGUCUAUGGACUGCCUAAAUAUUUUACCCACCGGCAUCUGAUGGUGACAAACUGAAUUGCCUUAACUGGGUCUUGCAUCUGAAGCAACAAU